UGUUAAAAGUUUACUCAUUUAUACUGUUAAAAGUUAAUGUGAUUGAUGGAAUAACCAUACAGUAACAUGUGACAUGCCACGUGUACCUCAUACUUGAUUUACAUGGAUAAACUUUUAAUAAUAGAAAUGGAUGAAAUUUUUAAUA
Gossypium hirsutum (cotton) is the source of this 145-nucleotide non-coding RNA. NCBI's taxonomy places the organism in Eukaryota, Viridiplantae, Streptophyta, Magnoliopsida, Malvales, Malvaceae. The record is from Rfam.